This 229-nucleotide ribosomal RNA is filed under the name uncultured bacterium. RNAcentral's name for it is "partial 16S ribosomal RNA". It matches the Rfam family "Bacterial small subunit ribosomal RNA", at positions 568 to 796 of the family's 1533-position model. The record is from RNAcentral.
CGUGUAGGCGGCAUGGCAAGUCAGAUGUGAAAGCCCACGGCUCAACCGUGGAAGUGCAUUUGAAACUGCCAAGCUAGAGUACGGGAGAGGAUUGUAGAAUUCCCGGUGUAGAGGUGAAAUUCGUAGAUAUCGGGAGGAAUACCGGUGGCGAAGGCGGCAAUCUGGACCGAUACUGACGCUGAGACGCGAAAGCGUGGGGAGCAAACAGGAUUAGAUACCCUGGUAGUCC